UAGGUGGCAAGCUGUAGUCUUGUUCACGGGGCCGCGCCCCCCCCA
This 45-nucleotide transfer RNA is filed under the name Cyrtodactylus taybacensis (Taybac bent-toed gecko). Its description in RNAcentral is "partial tRNA-Tyr". Lineage: Eukaryota; Metazoa; Chordata; Lepidosauria; Squamata; Gekkonidae. The record is from RNAcentral.